UACGAAGGGGGCUAGCGUUGCUCGGAAUUACUGGGCGUAAAGCGCACGUAGGCGGCUUUCUAAGUCGGGGGUGAAAUCCUGGAGCUCAACUCCAGAACUGCCUUCGAUACUGGAAAGCUCGAGUCCGGGAGAGGUGAGUGGAACUGCGAGUGUAGAGGUGAAAUUCGUAGAUAUUCGCAAGAAUACCAGUGGCGAAGGCGGCUCACUGGCCCGGUACUGACGCUGAGGUGCGAAAGCGUGGGGAGCAAACAGG
Molecule: ribosomal RNA, 253 nt
Filed under: uncultured bacterium
Lineage: Bacteria
Description: partial 16S ribosomal RNA
Rfam family: Bacterial small subunit ribosomal RNA
Source: RNAcentral